RNAcentral lists this ribosomal RNA (317 nucleotides) under Burkholderia pyrrocinia. Its description in RNAcentral is "bacterial SSU rRNA". It matches the Rfam family "Bacterial small subunit ribosomal RNA", at positions 851 to 1172 of the family's 1533-position model. The record is from RNAcentral. Lineage: Bacteria; Pseudomonadati; Pseudomonadota; Betaproteobacteria; Burkholderiales; Burkholderiaceae.
GCUAACGCGUGAAGUUGACCGCCUGGGGAGUACGGUCGCAAGAUUAAAACUCAAAGGAAUUGACGGGGACCCGCACAAGCGGUGGAUGAUGUGGAUUAAUUCGAUGCAACGCGAAAAACCUUACCUACCCUUGACAUGGUCGGAAUCCUGCUGAGAGGUGGGAGUGCUCGAAAGAGAACCGGCGCACAGGUGCUGCAUGGCUGUCGUCAGCUCGUGUCGUGAGAUGUUGGGUUAAGUCCCGCAACGAGCGCAACCCUUGUCCUUAGUUGCUACGCAAGAGCACUCUAAGGAGACUGCCGGUGACAAACCGGAGGAAG